Molecule: non-coding RNA, 114 nt
Filed under: uncultured Symbiodinium
Lineage: Eukaryota; Dinophyceae; Suessiales; Symbiodiniaceae
Source: RNAcentral
AGAACGAAGGGGAAGGAAGGUAAUAAAAGAGCUGUAGCUCGUGGUCUUUCCUUUUUCUUGUUUGUCAUUCCUUUUUCCUUAUCUUCAUCUCUGUUUUCAUUCUUGGAAGCACCG